CUGCAGACAGGAGAGGGAAAGACUGAAGGUGAUAAUAACACUAAGGAAUGACAUUCAUGGGAUUGUAAAGCCACCAUUUUGGGAAGUUCAGUUUCAACUCCAUGUAAGUCACCAGGUUUUGGAGAUGACACAAGAUGACUCCCCCUCCCUACUGUCACCCCACCACAAGAAGACCACUCUACCCUUCACCUGAGUGUCUCCAGAUCUCCUCUACCAAAUUCUGUCAAAGCACAAGAACCAGGACGUUGCUCCCCCACCCCGGCCUUUGGUUGUUCCUUCACAGUUAUGAUUUUCUCCUUGAGGACUGCUUUGGUUGCAUCUCAGAAAUUUGGGUCAUAUGAAGAACGACUCUUUCUGGAAGAUGAAUACCCCGAACCCAGGGUUCGUAGACAAUCUCUGUCCUUUUGCUCUUCCCUGAUGUGACUUCGUACUCUGAUGUCUAUACCUGUCCUCAGUUGUGUGAGGCUGGGUAAGGAGAAAAUACAUUUGAGCCAGAUGGAAUUUGCUCCUAUAUCUCCCCUCUAAGACCUAUAUGAGUAUCAUUAAAAUAUGGAUAUUGUAUGCAAGAGAAGAAAGAAACCAUCCAAAGGAGGCUAAUUGAAUCAAUGAUAAUUGAACUUUUAGUGUUUAAUAUUUUGUUACAUUCAUAUUGUUUACUUGUGUACCAUUUGUAACCUCAAAAGGAGCAAUCCCUUCCACCUUCCCAGUGUAGACCAUCUCUUAAGCUCAUCCACUUUGUUCAUGUGACAGGAUACCUACAGAACCUUUCCAUCUUCUUUGGCGCAGAAGUGAUGACUCUUAUUUAACCUGUUGAUAUAGUAAGCUGCCGUGGAAAUCCUUUCAAAUCUCUCAUUUCAAAGGUAAAGCAAGAGCCAAGGAAGUUGUUCGUUCAGGAUGGACGAUCCUUUACUAGGCAGGAAAUGAAAGAACUCAAAUCAGACCAACGAGUGCAUCACUAUCUGGAACACUGAACUACAUUCAGUCCUUACAACAUGGAACUCUGUAUAUAGGGGAAAUGAUUUUUCUUUUAAAAUUUCCUAAAGAAAUUUAUCCCUUACACAUCUAGUCUUAGAGCACAUAUAGAGCUGAGAGGAACCAAGUGAGAUAUGGGGAUAAGUGCCACCAAGAUUUCCUGGUUACACCUCUGAUCUUUGAGUCAGGUAGACCUGAAUUCAAAUCCUGUUUCAGGCACUCGCCUUCAGCCGCACUGUUUCAAGCAAGUCACCUCUCCUCUGUUGGCCUCUGUCAAAUAAGGGGUUUGAUGAGAUGGCCUCUGAGGUGCCAUCCAGGUCUAGUUUCUGACUAUGAGCCUGUGAACCUUAUUUAGGGACCUCAGGAGUGGCCGGGUGGAGAGGAAAUUUAAGACAGCAGAUGGAGACCAUACGUUUGGAAAAGUUGGCAGUGAUGAGAGAGAGACAGACAGAGAGACAGAGACAUACAAUCACAGAGCAUUUUCUUCAGACUGGAGUGCUUCCUUCUUUCUUAGAGGAAAAUGGAGGAUGUGCUCCAGUAGUAGGACCACUGAAAUUGGAGUCAAAAGCACCAGGGGAAAUCCCAUAUUGACUAUGAAGUACAAUGACUGUAGCAGUAGGCUCAUUUACUAUCUGACUUUAAAUCCUGCAUUACUCAAAAAAGGUAGAAUUAAAGAUUUUUAUAAGCCUUGGACACCUAGACAAGUAUUCAUCUGCAUGUCUGAUUUAAUACCAGCAAAAUGUUAGUCAACCUUGUGACAUCUGUUUUAUAAUUUUCCUUCAAAGUUAAGAAAUGCUAUUAAAAUGA
Trichosurus vulpecula (common brushtail) is the source of this 1779-nucleotide long non-coding RNA. RefSeq lists it as uncharacterized. The transcript is spliced from 5 exons. The record is from RefSeq and is a predicted model, not a curated record. Lineage: Eukaryota; Metazoa; Chordata; Mammalia; Diprotodontia; Phalangeridae.